CUGGUGGCGAGCGGCGGACGGGUGAKUAAUGCCUAGGAAUCUGCCUGGUAGUGGGGGAUAACGCUCGGAAACGGACGCUAAUACCGCAUACGUCCUACGGGAGAAAGCAGGGGACCUUCGGGCCUUGCGCUAUCAGAUGAGCCUAGGUCGGAUUAGCUAGUUGGUGAGGUAAYGGCUCACCAAGGCGACGAUCCGUAACUGGUCUGAGAGGAUGAUCAGUCACACUGGAACUGAGACACGGUCCAGACUCCUACGGGAGGCAGCAGUGGGGAAUAUUGGACAAUGGGCGAAAGCCUGAUCCAGCCAUGCCGCGUGUGUGAAGAAGGUCUUCGGAUUGUAAAGCACUUUAAGUUGGGAGGAAGGGCAUUUACCUAAUACGUAAGUGUUUUGACGUUACCGACAGAAUAAGCACCGGCUAACUCUGUGCCAGCAGCCGCGGUAAUACAGAGGGUGCAAGCGUUAAUCGGAAUUACUGGGCGUAAAGCGCGCGUAGGUGGUUCGUUAAGUUGGAUGUGAAAUCCCCGGGCUCAACCUGGGAACUGCAUUCAAAACUGUCGAGCUAGAGUAUGGUAGAGGGUGGUGGAAUUUCCUGUGUAGCGGUGAAAUGCGUAGAUAUAGGAAGGAACACCAGUGGCGAAGGCGACCACCUGGACUG
Molecule: ribosomal RNA, 655 nt
Filed under: Pseudomonas sp.
Lineage: Bacteria; Pseudomonadati; Pseudomonadota; Gammaproteobacteria; Pseudomonadales; Pseudomonadaceae
Description: bacterial SSU rRNA
Rfam family: Bacterial small subunit ribosomal RNA
Source: RNAcentral